CAAGUCGAGGGGCAGCAUGAUUUGUAGCAAUACAGAUUGAUGGCCGACCGGCGCACGGUGAGUAACGCGUAUGCAACUUACCUAUCGAGAGGGGGGAUAGCCCGGACGAAAGUCGGAUUAAUACCCCAUAAAACAGGGGUCCCGCAUGGGAUAUUUGUUAAAGAUUCAUCGCUGAUAGAUAGGCAUGCGUUCCAUUAGGUAGUAGGCGGGGUAACGGCCCACCUAGCCGACGAUGGAUAGGGGUUCUGAGAGGAAGGUCCCCCACAUUGGAACUGAGACACGGUCCAAACUCCUACGGGAGGCAGCAGUGAGGAAUAUUGGUCAAUGGACGAGAGUCUGAACCAGCCAAGUAGCGUGAAGGAUGAAGGUCCUACGGAUUGUAAACUUCUUUUAUAAGGGAAUAAACCCUCCCACGUGUGGGAGCUUGUAUGUACCUUAUGAAUAAGCAUCGGCUAACUCCGUG
RNAcentral lists this ribosomal RNA (463 nucleotides) under uncultured bacterium. Its description in RNAcentral is "bacterial SSU rRNA". It matches the Rfam family "Bacterial small subunit ribosomal RNA", at positions 58 to 507 of the family's 1533-position model. The record is from RNAcentral.